GUGCCAGCAGCCGCGGUAAUACGUAGGGUGCGAGCGUUAAUCGGAAUUACUGGGCGUAAAGCGUGCGCAGGCGGCUUUGCAAGACAGAGGUGAAAUCCCCGGGCUCAACCUGGGAACUGCCUUUGUGACUGCAAGGCUAGAGUACGGCAGAGGGGGAUGGAAUUCCGCGUGUAGCAGUGAAAUGCGUAGAUAUGCGGAGGAACACCGAUGGCGAAGGCAAUCCCCUGGGCCUGUACUGACGCUCAUGCACGAAAGCGUGGGGAGCAAACAGGAUUAGAUA
RNAcentral lists this ribosomal RNA (280 nucleotides) under uncultured Burkholderiales bacterium. RNAcentral's name for it is "partial 16S ribosomal RNA". It matches the Rfam family "Bacterial small subunit ribosomal RNA", at positions 505 to 784 of the family's 1533-position model. The record is from RNAcentral. Lineage: Bacteria; Pseudomonadati; Pseudomonadota; Betaproteobacteria; Burkholderiales.